RNAcentral lists this long non-coding RNA (1054 nucleotides) under Homo sapiens (human). RNAcentral describes it as "HSALNT0280854". The record is from RNAcentral. Lineage: Eukaryota; Metazoa; Chordata; Mammalia; Primates; Hominidae.
CCAUCACCACGCCCGGCUAAUUUUUUGUAUUUUUAGUAGAGACGGGGUUUCACCAUGUUAGCCAGGAUGGUCUCGAUCUCCUGACCUCGUGAUCCGCCUGCCUCGGCCUCCCAAAGUGCUGGGAUUACAGGCGUGAGACACUGCACCCGGCCUACUCUUUUUUUUGUCCGAGAAACAUUCACGAAUAAUUUCUUUCUAUAUAGAAUACCAGUUCUUUCAGCUGUAAUAUCCUCUUGUUAUACUGGAGCCCCGUUGGUAUGAUGAGAAACUGUGGAGGCGGUGAAGCAUUCUACAACCUUCCAAUUAAGUCUCAGCCUUUUACCUGACUUGCAUCUUUGACCUGUGAUCACCGAGAAUCAAAAGGGAAGUGUUUCUUCUUGUAUAGUUUCUCCCCUCCCAAUUAGGUGAGGAACGCUAGAGGGGGCUAUGGUGAGAUCUCUGGGACAAGGCUCUGGUAAAGUACUUUCCUCUGAAGACAAGGCCUUUGCUAUGGAGAAGGUUCUGGACAUAUUUUACCAAGAUUAUCCGUCUACUCUCCCUACCUAAGCCACAAGGGUACCUUUGUUGACUCUUCGCGGUGAGAACCUAGUGGGGAUCCUGGAGAUAAAGUCAAUGAAAAUAUGGUGGCCCCAAGGAGUUUCUCAGUCUCAAGCCAGUCUACACUCAGCCUCCAGAAACUUGUCAAAAUUACUAAGUGUUCCUACCAGUUUAUGGCUCCAGUGACUUCUAUUUUAGUGCCUGCCUCAGCAAACAGCCUUCUGCAGAUACCUUCUCCCACUUGUGCAAUUAUCUCUUCAAAGUUGAAUACUUUUUGCCCACCACAUGAGUUGAGCUGGGUUUCGUGCCAUCCACAAAAUUCAUGCUUUUUCUACUGCUUUAUGUUGCCCAAAGACUCAAGGACUGAAGUGGCUUCAGCUAUUAAAUUCUGUGAGUUUAUACGUGUAUGAACAUUGGCAGUGGGGGAAGAAGUCACAAAACAAAGAGGCCCUCUUUUCAGCUCUGCUCCAGUAAGCAGGACCUUUUUCACUUUGUGGCAGAAUAAAUGCAAAUAAAU